UGGGGAAUUUUGGACAAUGGGCGCAAGCCUGAUCCAGCCAUGCCGCGUGUGGGAAGAAGGCCUUCGGGUUGUAAACCACUUUUGUCAGGGAAGAAACGGCUCUUACUAAUAUUAGGAGCUAAUGACGGUACCUGAAGAAUAAGCACCGGCUAACUACGUGCCAGCAGCCGCGGUACUACGUAGGGUGCAAGCGUUAAUCGGAAUUACUGGGCGUAAAGCGUGCGCAGGCGGUGAUGUAAGACAGGUGUGAAAUCCCCGGGCUUAACCUGGGAACUGCAUUUGUGACUGCAUCGCUGGAGUGCGGCAGAGGGGGAUGGAAUUCCGCGUGUAGCAGUGAAAUGCGUAGAUAUGCGGAGGAACACCGAUGGCGAAGGCAAUCCCCUGGGCCUGCACUGACGCUCAUGCACGAAAGCGUGGGGGGCAAA
This 425-nucleotide ribosomal RNA is filed under the name uncultured bacterium. RNAcentral describes it as "bacterial SSU rRNA". It matches the Rfam family "Bacterial small subunit ribosomal RNA", at positions 355 to 772 of the family's 1533-position model. The record is from RNAcentral.